This 551-nucleotide ribosomal RNA is filed under the name uncultured archaeon. RNAcentral's name for it is "bacterial SSU rRNA". It matches the Rfam family "Archaeal small subunit ribosomal RNA", at positions 327 to 879 of the family's 1478-position model. The record is from RNAcentral.
GGGGUGCCCAGGCGCGAAAACUUUACAAUGCUGGAAACAGCGAUAAGGGGACCUCGAGUGCCAGGUUACAAAUCUGGCUGUCGUGAUGCCUAAAAAGCAUUGCAUAGCAAGGGCCGGGCAAGACCGGUGCCAGCCGCCGCGGUAACACCGGCGGCUCGAGUGGUAACCGUUAUUAUUGGGUCUAAAGGGUCUGUAGCCGGCCGGAUAAGUCUCUUGGGAAAUCCAGCAGCUCAACUGUUGGGCUUUCAGGAGAUACUGUCUGGCUCGAGGCCGGGAGAGGUGAGAGGUACUUCAGGGGUAGGGGUGAAAUCUUGUAAUCCUUGAAGGACCACCAGUGGCGAAGGCGUCUCACCAGAACGGACCUGACGGCAAGGGACGAAAGCUAGGGGCACGAACCGGAUUAGAUACCCGGGUAGUCCUAGCCGUAAACGAUACUCGCUAGGUGUCGGCCACGGUGCGACCGUUGUCGGUGCUGUAGGGAAGCCGUGAAGCGAGCCACCUGGGAAGUACGGCCGCAAGGCUGAAACUUAAAGGAAUUGGCGGGGGAGCAC